RNAcentral lists this ribosomal RNA (461 nucleotides) under uncultured bacterium. RNAcentral's name for it is "partial 16S ribosomal RNA". It matches the Rfam family "Bacterial small subunit ribosomal RNA", at positions 338 to 795 of the family's 1533-position model. The record is from RNAcentral.
CCUACGGGAGGCUGCAGUGAGGAAUAUUGGUCAAUGGACGAGAGUCUGAACCAGCCAAGUAGCGUGAAGGAUGACUGCCCUAUGGGUUGUAAACCUCUUUUAUAAAGGAAUAAAACGAGGCACGUGUGCCCUUUUGCAUGUACUUUAUGAAUAAGGAUCGGCUAACUCCGUGCCAGCAGCCGCGGUAAUACGGAGGAUCCGAGCGUUAUCCGGAUUUAUUGGGUUUAAAGGGAGCGUAGAUGGGUUGUUAAGUCAGUUGUGAAAGUUUGCGGCUCAACCGUAAAAUUGCAAUUGAUACUGGCAGUCUUGAGUACAGUUGAGGUAGGCGGAAUUCGUGGUGUAGCGGUGAAAUGCUUAGAUAUCACGAAGAACCCCGAUUGCGAAGGCAGCUUACUAAACUGUGACUGACAUUGAUGCUCGAAAGUGUGGGUAUCAAACAGGAUUAGAUACCCCGAGUAGUC